RNAcentral lists this ribosomal RNA (253 nucleotides) under uncultured bacterium. RNAcentral's name for it is "partial 16S ribosomal RNA". It matches the Rfam family "Bacterial small subunit ribosomal RNA", at positions 524 to 776 of the family's 1533-position model. The record is from RNAcentral.
UACGUAGGAGGCAAGGGUUGUCCGGAAGUAUUGGGCGUAAAGCGCGCGCAGGCGGUCCUUUAAGUCUGAUGUGAAAGCCCACGGCUCAACCGUGGAGGGUCAUUGGAAACUGGGGGACUUGAGGGCAGAAGAGGAAAGUGGAAUUCCAAGUGUAGCGGUGAAAUGCGUAGAGAUUUGGAGGAACACCAGUGGCGAAGGCGACUUUCUGGUCUGUAACUGACACUGAGGCGCGAAAGCGUGGGGAGCAAACAGG